CUACUUUUUUAUUUCUUAUCUAUAAAUAAAAUAAGACUUGUUUCCACUAGGAAUGCAACUGGCCUGGUAAUGAGAUCCCAGUCUGGUCUGGCUUCAAAGUUCAUGUUUGUUUACCAGAAGAUGAGUCAGUCCUGAAUAUAAACCUGAUCAGUGUCAUACACUUGGAAAGACCAGAAGAUGGGAUAAAAUAUGGAAAUAAAAACAUGGGAUGAGGUAUCUUAUUUUCUUUUCUUGAGAGGCCAAGGGUGAUAAAUAGAUGUUUUCAAGAAAAGCAAACUGCAGAGAUCCCAGCGCUUCUGUGUCAGAGGCUGAGUAUUAUUCCUGGAGCAUUAUUCCAGGUAAUCAAUGGACAUAUUGGAUCUUGUUCAAAUACAUGGCAGACAGAACCUGAAAUACAAAGCAAUGAUUCUUGUUCCUUUUCUGGGCAAGUGCUGGCCAUGCCAUGGACUGCAGUCUGAGAAAGUGAACAUGAUGUUUUCAUACAUGGCCUUUUCACUUCAAAGUUUUCAAAAUGCACAUAUCAGCUGUAGGAGUGAAUUUGUGUAG
This 546-nucleotide long non-coding RNA is filed under the name Anas platyrhynchos platyrhynchos (common mallard). RNAcentral describes it as "lncRNA (ENSAPLG00000026096.1)". The record is from RNAcentral. Lineage: Eukaryota; Metazoa; Chordata; Aves; Anseriformes; Anatidae.